RNAcentral lists this ribosomal RNA (552 nucleotides) under bacterium amp-d-30. Its description in RNAcentral is "partial 16S ribosomal RNA". It matches the Rfam family "Bacterial small subunit ribosomal RNA", at positions 53 to 595 of the family's 1533-position model. The record is from RNAcentral.
ACAUGCAGUCGAACGGCAGCAUGAUCUAGCUUGCUAGAUUGAUGGCGAGUGGCGAACGGGUGAGUAAUACAUCGGAACGUGCCCUGUAGUGGGGGAUAACUAGUCGAAAGAUUAGCUAAUACCGCAUACGACCUGAGGGUGAAAGUGGGGGACCGCAAGGCCUCAUGCUAUAGGAGCGGCCGAUGUCUGAUUAGCUAGUUGGUGAGGUAAAGGCUCACCAAGGCGACGAUCAGUAGCUGGUCUGAGAGGACAAUCAACCAUACUGGGACUGAGACCCGCCCCACACUCCUACGGGAGGNAGCGGUGUGUUUUUUUGGAGAGUGGGCGAAAGCCUGCUCCAGCCAUGCCGUGUGUGUGAAGAAGGCCUUCGGGUUGUAAAUUUUUUUUGUCCGAAAAAGAAAUGGCUCUGGUUAAUACCUGGGGUCGAUGACGGUACCGAAAGAAUAAGGACCGCCUAACUACGUGCCAGCGGCCGCGGUAAUACGUAGGGCCCAAGCGUUAAUCGAAUUACUGGGCGUAAAGCGUGCGCGGGGGGGUUUGUGCAAGACCGAU